AUCCAACUGGUAUAGCUCAGUUGGUAGAGCAUGAGACUCUCAAUCAUAGGGUUGCUGGUUCGAGCCCCAUGUUGGGCA
Molecule: non-coding RNA, 78 nt
Organism: Podarcis lilfordi (Lilford's wall lizard)
Lineage: Eukaryota; Metazoa; Chordata; Lepidosauria; Squamata; Lacertidae
Source: the annotation of a GenBank genome assembly